Molecule: ribosomal RNA, 497 nt
Filed under: uncultured bacterium
Lineage: Bacteria
Description: partial 16S ribosomal RNA
Rfam family: Bacterial small subunit ribosomal RNA
Source: RNAcentral
GAUGAACGCUGGCGGCGUGCCUAAUACAUGCAAGUCGAGCGAACGGACGAGAAGCUUGCUUUUCUGAUGUUAGCGGCGGACGGGUGAGUAACACGUGGAUAACCUACCUAUAAGACUGGGAUAACUUCGGGAAACCGGAGCUAAUACCGGAUAAUAUUUUGAACCGCAUGGUUCAAAAGUGAAAGACGGUCUUGCUGUCACUUAUAGAUGGAUCCGCGCUGCAUUAGCUAGUUGGUAAGGUAACGGCUUACCAAGGCAACGAUGCAUAGCCGACCUGAGAGGGUGAUCGGCCACACUGGAGCUGAGACACGGUCCAGAGUCCUACGGGAGGCAGCAGUAGGGAAUCUUACGCAAUGGGCGAAAGCCUGACGGAGCAACGCCGCGUGAGUGAUGAAGGUCUUCGGAUCGUAAAACUCUGUUAUUAGGGAAGAACAGAUGUGUAAGUAACUGUGCACAUCUUGACGGUACCUAAUCAGAAAGCCACGGCUAACUACGUG